RNAcentral lists this long non-coding RNA (216 nucleotides) under Lathyrus oleraceus (garden pea). RNAcentral describes it as "Pisum sativum (pea) long non-coding RNA (PSAT_LNC021987)". The record is from RNAcentral. Lineage: Eukaryota; Viridiplantae; Streptophyta; Magnoliopsida; Fabales; Fabaceae.
UUUAGACAUAAUUUUCAUCAGAGCUAUUUAAUAAUUUCUCCCCCUUUUUGGCAUAAUCAAAAAGGCAUAAAAAAUGAAAAGAAUAAUAAAGAGAAAAACACUUCAUUGAAAAGCACAAAGGCAAACAACAGUCAAAACAUUAGAUUCAACAGAAUAUCAGAGCUAAAAAGAAAGACAGAAGCAAAAACACUUAGGCAAACAAACAAAAAUAAAACC